UACGUAGGGGGCAAGCGUUGUCCGGAUUCAUUGGGCGUAAAGAGCGUGUAGGCGGCCAGACAGGUCCGUUGUGAAAACUCGAGGCUCAACCUCGAGAUGUCGAUGGAAACCGUCUGGCUAGAGUCCGGAAGAGGAGUGUGGAAUUCCUGGUGUAGCGGUGAAAUGCGCAGAUAUCAGGAAGAACACCGAUGGCGAAGGCAGUUCUCUGGGCCGUAACUGACGCUGAGGAGCGAAAGCGUGGGGAGCGAACAGG
RNAcentral lists this ribosomal RNA (253 nucleotides) under uncultured bacterium. RNAcentral's name for it is "partial 16S ribosomal RNA". It matches the Rfam family "Bacterial small subunit ribosomal RNA", at positions 524 to 776 of the family's 1533-position model. The record is from RNAcentral.